Sinocyclocheilus anshuiensis is the source of this 1494-nucleotide RNA transcript. It is a transcript of the gene named yrdC domain-containing protein, mitochondrial-like, with no coding region annotated. The transcript has 7 exons. The record is from RefSeq and is a predicted model, not a curated record. Lineage: Eukaryota; Metazoa; Chordata; Actinopteri; Cypriniformes; Cyprinidae.
UUUGAAGGGCUGUCAACGUGGCUUCCUGCUUUAUGAAAGCGUGCUGUGUGAGCUGUUAAUGGUCUUCUUCAGCUGUAUUCGCUCGGCCGGUGUUCUGCAUGCGUUUCGACACUCACUCGUACACCUAAACAUGCCGCUUAGGAGCGCCAGCAUGUGUGAAGAGCUGAAGACGAGAGUCCUGCGGCUAUCAGCGCAGAGCUCCGGGGAGCAGCAGGAGUGGACCGAGAUCCUGAGCGCCACAGUCAAGGCUCUGAAAGCGGGGCAGGUCGUGGCCGUUCCCACUGACACCAUCUACGGUCUGGCCUGUGUGGCUCAACACUCUGCGGCCGUCAGGAGAGUUUAUGAUAUCAAAGGACGGAAUGGAGACAAUCCUCUAGCCAUCUGUGUCGGAGAAGUACAGGACAUCUACAGAUUCUGUAAGGUGUCUGUGAAGGAGGAGCUGCUCCGAGAUCUGCUGCCUGGACCGGUUACACUAGUUCUGGAAAGAUCCUCCACACUGAACGGAGACCUCAAUCCUUUUACCAAGCUCAUAGGGGUUCGUGUUCCAGACCAUCCGUUCAUGAGGCGUCUCUGUCAGAUGUGCGGCGAGCCGCUUGCUCUCACCAGUGCUAACGUCAGCACACAAACCAGCACAGUUGCUGCUAACGAGUUUGAGGAUCUGUGGCCCAGUCUGGCUGUUGUGGUGGACGGUGGACCGAUUGGAGAUAAAAGCCGGUUGGGAUCAACAGUUGUGGAUCUGUCUGUGUGUGGCAGAUACCGUAUAAUCAGACCCGGAUGUGCUCUCUCUGCUACAGUUCAGGUACUUGAGGGCAAGUAUGGACUGCUGGAGGAUCCUGUCAAUCAGUGAGAUUAAAGCACAGCACAAACCCACUGUAGGUCAAAGCCAGCCCAGAGAUCAGACACUGUUCUGAAGUGUGUGCGAUUCUUAGUAAUGGGUCUUGAGGGUCUGAUUUUCUGCGGGGGGUUUCCCUCUUCUUUUUAGAGAAUUGAGUUUGGUUGAUCUGAUCUGAAUGUGCUUUUGAAAUGAUCAUCUCAGGCCACAGACUCAAUUUUCUAGGUUCUCAAGUUGAAGACGCACAUUUUUCUUCUCACUCCUAGUCGGACGUUUAGUUCCUGAAGACUCAUUUCAUAUAUUACUGUUAUGUAAAGUGGAGUAGUUCUUCUGUUGCCAUGACCUCUACACCACUGAGAUGCCAUUGGGGAUACACUGACUAUUAUGUUGGGAAUAUUAUUGUGAAUACUUGAUUGCUUUGUUACAGUACAUUAAUAGUUUAGAUUCAAGGGUUUUGUUUUGUUAAUUGGGAUUUUAUUUAUUGCAACUUUAAAUUUCAAAUUAUUGUGCCAAUAUUUCAGGGAUCACCUGCUCUCUGGCAGAGCAUCGUUUGUCUUUUUAUAAAAUAAACAAAAAUAAAAAACCUAAAUCUGAUGUCAAUAACUUUAAUAUUGUACUGUUUAAAUGCAGCCGUUACCCCAGAAACCCUGUAAACAAAGCAG